UUUAAUCGAUUCUGACGGUGCAAUCGUUUAAUUAGCAGUAGGUUAGCUCACAAUUUUCAAUAUAAUUAUAGUUAUUAAGUAGAACAAUGCUAUGUAUCGUAGUAUGUUAUUGCAACAGUCUCAAUCUUGUUGUGAUGUUGAUGUAUGUGCAGGUGGACUUCUACAUCUUCCAGAGUCAGGGGGCCAAUCAUGCAGUGAGGGAGGCAGUCUGCAUCUGUACUGCAGAGCUAGGCACUAAGGUGAAGGAUUGUCUGAAAAUGACUGGUGAGUGGUACUGUUGUAGUGUUUCCAUGAUGAUGUGUGGAGCUUUAUGGUGUAGUGGGGUAUGGGAUAAAGUUUCAUUCUCCUGCUGGGAGAGCUGAGUGGUGUGAGUGGGUGUAGUGACCGAGUGUCCUCCCUCCUCUCCCUCUGUGCUGAGACACUACGACACAGACACUACCCUCAACACAUCAACCUCCUGGAGACACUGCUCAAA
Halichondria panicea is the source of this 475-nucleotide long non-coding RNA. RefSeq lists it as uncharacterized. The transcript has 3 exons. Lineage: Eukaryota; Metazoa; Porifera; Demospongiae; Suberitida; Halichondriidae. The record is from RefSeq and is a predicted model, not a curated record.